UUGCAUCCACUGAUAGACCUGAAGCAUGCUUCUUUGGCUUCAAGGUUUGCAUAGAGAUGCUAAAUUGAACUAUCCUUGUGCUUUUUGACUGCUAAAUAAAAUAGCAGCACAGAAUAAACUGAGGAAUACAUUU
Small nucleolar RNA from Eleginops maclovinus (Patagonian blennie), 133 nucleotides. RefSeq annotates it as small nucleolar RNA SNORA31. The transcript has a single exon. Lineage: Eukaryota; Metazoa; Chordata; Actinopteri; Perciformes; Eleginopidae. The record is from RefSeq and is a predicted model, not a curated record.